GCUAAGUUCGUGCCAGCAGCCGCGGUAAGACGAACCGUGCAAACGUUAUUCGGAAUCACUGGGCUUAAAGGGCGCGUAGGCGGGUAAUCAAGUCAAUGGUGAAAUCCUCCAGCUUAACUGGAGAAGUGCCUUUGAUACUGGUUGUCUAGAGGGAGGUAGGGGCAUGUGGAACUUCAGGUGGAGCGGUGAAAUGCGUAGAUAUCUGAAGGAACGCCAGUGGCGAAAGCGAUGUGCUGGACCUCUUCUGACGCUUAGGCGCGAAAGCUAGGGGAUCAAACGGGAUUAGAUACCCCGGUAGUCCUAGCCCUAAACUAUGGGUACUAGAUUGUGGACUUUCAUGGGUUCACAGUCGAAGCAAAAGUGUUAAGUACCCCGCCUGGGGAGUAUGGUCGCAAGGCUGAAACUCAAAGGAAUUGACGGGGGCUCACACAAGCGGUGGAGCAUGUGGCUUAAUUCGAGGCUACGCGAAGAACCUUAUCCUGGAAUUGACAUAUGUGAAAACGGUAGGAAGUAAUUGCCGGAAACGGCCAAUGAACGGUAUCCAAUCCGGAACUUACCACAGGUGCUGCAUGGCUUGUCGUCAGCUCCGUGUCGUGAGA
Molecule: ribosomal RNA, 599 nt
Filed under: uncultured Planctomycetia bacterium
Lineage: Bacteria; Pseudomonadati; Planctomycetota; Planctomycetia
Description: bacterial SSU rRNA
Rfam family: Bacterial small subunit ribosomal RNA
Source: RNAcentral